UCGACUACAUGAAGCUGGAAUCGCUAGUAAUCGCGAAUCAGCAUGUCGCGGUGAAUACGUUCCCGGGUCUUGUACACACCGCCCGUCACGCCAUGGGAGUUGGUAACGCCCGAAGCCAGUGACCCAACCGGAAACGGAGGGAGCUGUCGAAGGUGGGACCGAUAACUGGGGUGAAGUCGUAACAAGGUAUC
RNAcentral lists this ribosomal RNA (191 nucleotides) under uncultured bacterium. Its description in RNAcentral is "partial 16S ribosomal RNA". It matches the Rfam family "Bacterial small subunit ribosomal RNA", at positions 1312 to 1500 of the family's 1533-position model. The record is from RNAcentral.